AAUCUUGAAUCAAUUUAAGCGGAUCACGUGGAAUCAAACACUAAAAUCUCAACCCCAAAAAAUAACAAUAAACUUCAGAUAUCAUGAAACAUUCUCCCUGCAAAUUUGGCAACAAGCAUCACUAAAUUCACAACAAAAAGAAAGAAAAUUGAGGCAUAUUAAGAAGUGGGUAUUUAGAUAUGCACCGAUCCAGAAGUCUCUCUUACUACAACAUUAAAUAUAAUUCUCAUCCACAGGUGGUGGCGGGGAAUUGUAAGUAACUAAGAGGAAAUGCUUAAAAGAAAAGGUGAAUUGAGCAGAUCUAAUUAAAAAGAAAGAAAGUAUGUUAAUUGUGUGUUUAUCUGCAAAUGGGUAUACUUUAACAGCAAUGUAAAAAAAAAUUAAAGAAAAAC
Molecule: unclassified non-coding RNA, 392 nt
Filed under: Hevea brasiliensis (rubber tree)
Lineage: Eukaryota; Viridiplantae; Streptophyta; Magnoliopsida; Malpighiales; Euphorbiaceae
Source: RNAcentral